RNA transcript from Coregonus clupeaformis (lake whitefish), 2117 nucleotides. It is a transcript of the gene named ciliogenesis and planar polarity effector 1, with no coding region annotated. The record is from RefSeq and is a predicted model, not a curated record. NCBI's taxonomy places the organism in Eukaryota, Metazoa, Chordata, Actinopteri, Salmoniformes, Salmonidae. The transcript has 9 exons.
GUCCAGGGGGGCACUGGUCCCAGCCUUUUCCCAUGAGGGCCUGCUGUUAGCCAAAGUCCUGAACUGCCUCCCUUACACCUCCCUCAUGCCCCAGGGGUUGGGAGCCUUGUCAGACGCAGCUGUCAGACGUGUGGACGGUGGUCUACACCUAGGACAUGCUGCUGCAGGGGAGGCUGCUGCCUGAGGCCACCUGGCUGGCUUAUCGUCUGGGUGACUGGAAGACUGCAGCCUCCCUGGCCUGGCCUACACCACCUACUCCACAGAUCACUGCGACUUCACCGGUCUCAGGUGGAGAGAACUACAUCUCCCAGCAGCCUUUUGAGCCUGGGAGAAUCUUUCAGGGUCAGCUGCAGUCUCUACUGGGCAGGAACGCCGGGUCAGAGGAGACCCAUGGAGAUGAGGAUAACUACGAAAGCUUCACAAGUGUGUUGUGCCUGACGACUUUCUGGAGGAUGAGGACAUGGAGUUCCUGAAUGCGUCAGUCAUGUCUGAGGUAGAUGUGUUGUCUCAGCCCCCUGGGUGCUCUGCUGAACUCAGCCAAAUACCUGUCCUCCUGCCUCCCUGCUCUGGUGCCUAUGGGCCUGUACCUCCCUGCCCCUCCUUUCUACUGCCUCCAGCCUGCACACAACACACAGUUAGGACCCGUCAGGGGUGUUAGGGCAGCUGUUGGAGGGGACGUCGUGUCACAGGGUGUCAGGGGUCCUCCAGAGGGUGAUGCUGCUCCUGAGAUCUGCCCAGUGGUACAUCAGCCACCUGCGACGCUCUCGACAUCGCCUACACAAGAUCCGUCAGUAGUACGCCCAGCAGCAGCAGCAGUGUGUGGCCAAGGCCUUUCUAGAGGCUCUGAUGAAGUUUGUGAACCGCGGUGGAUUCUUCAGACUGGGACCCAGUGGGGACGGAACCUUGGACUCGGUCACUAUACAAACUAUUAUCUGCUUUAGCGAGCUGUGUGGCCUGUGCCGGAUGCUGCAUGUUAGCUCUCAAUGUCUUGCAGGAAGUAUCAGGCUGCAAGGAACCGUGGGAGAGAUCCCCAGGUCCCAGCAUAUGACGGUGAGGUGGCAGCAGCCUGUGACGAGGCUCUCCACUGGGCCUGUCGUUUCCUUCCCUUCUCCCGCUUCCUCAACGCAGAGGAGAUCCUCCAGGACACCCUCCUCAACUUGGUCUCUGAUCUACCCCUGGUAAACCUGACCAGCAGUCACAUUUAGACCAGAGGACUCCAUCAUACCCCCGCAAGAGAGCAAUGAGGACAAGCCUGAAGAGCCUGUUCUUGGGGAGGGCUUUGUCUUUCCUCUUGGGACCUUUGACUCCACCAUGCUGACUGGUCAGGGAUUGUUGGACAGGGCUCUGUCUACUGCAGCUGAGCUCCAUGCCUUUGCCGCCACACACAAGAGACCUCCUGGGAGCCACGAUGCCUGCGUCAACACAGACCCAGCUUCUCCUCACUCAGAUGAAGCCGUUUCUGCCCAACCUGCUGUCACUACUGCUGUUUCUGGACCUGCCACUCUCCCUCCUGAAUUGUUCCUGAAUCUGCGGUUCCCUAGAGACCCUCCUGUCCAGGACACAGAGACACCACGGGAGACCCAAUUAGAGAGGAACACGGAGUCGCUAGAGCGCGAUGGAACAAGGAAUUCCCAGCCGGUCAAACUCUCCCCUAACCCGGACGACGCUGGGCCAAUUGUGCGCCGCCUCAUGGGUCUCCCGGUCACGGCCGAACCCGGGUCUGUAGUGACGCCUCAAGCACUGCAAUGUUUCAUGCAUUUUAAUCGCUAUGUAAUGGUCUUAUCUCUCUCUCUCCCUGACUCUCAGGAUGUGCAGGGUCGUCAGUUCAUAAAUGUGAUAGAUCUGGAGGAUGGGGCUCUGCUACAGGAGUUGCCUGCGGUGCGGGACCGGGACGUCACCCCCUUUCAGCCCUCUCCCCCCACCUCUGCACAACUCCACCUGCUAGCAGCCUCCGUCACUAACUCAGCCCCUCCGGAACUCACUGCAGACACCAGAGCAGAGGAUGACCUACCCCAAGCUCAGCCAGGUAGUCUGAGUCAAUAUCAUCUAUUCACUCUGCUACAAUAACAGUAGAGUUGUAGCUACGUUUCUCCAAAUACAGUAUUGUCUGUCUGUAA